Amphiprion ocellaris (clown anemonefish) is the source of this 591-nucleotide long non-coding RNA. The record is from Ensembl. NCBI's taxonomy places the organism in Eukaryota, Metazoa, Chordata, Actinopteri, Pomacentridae.
ACCUAAACGAUGCGGAAGUUGAAGUCACCGUGGAGAACGUAAACUAAUGUUAAGCAGCCUCCUGAAAAUUAAAGAAAAGAGCCAAAGAAAAUAAAGAAAAAGAGGCAGAGGCGGCGGAGCGGACACCGGCCGAGCAGGACGCUUCUUCUCCGUCUGCUCUCUCACUGCUGCCGGCAUGCAGCGGAGUUUGUUUAGCUAGCCGUUACUGUCACUACUCCUCCGGUUCUCCGUUAACCGUUGCCUUCUCCGUGACCGUCAGUCCGCCCGUUACCGACACAGCUGCCGAUAAAUGGACCCACCGGGUGAGUCAGAGUCCACGUCGGAGGUGCUGCGGGACUGCACGGCUCGUUAAACCUGCUACAUCCCAUCCUCUCCUGGAGCUUCGGGGGUCCUGAUACUAGACAGGUCUUCUCAGGACCCUCCACCCCUCCGUAAGCUGCCAUCUGUCACUGCCGCUCCUGAUUGGCUUGAAGGCUUCAGUUCUGCAGGCAGGCCGGGCCCCGAUUGGCUGGCAGGCUCCCUGGGAGAAGGCGGGCGGGUCAAGACAGCCGCUGAUUGAUAGAUAUCGGAAGUGGAGGAGGAGGAAGAGGA